This 459-nucleotide ribosomal RNA is filed under the name uncultured bacterium. Its description in RNAcentral is "partial 16S ribosomal RNA". It matches the Rfam family "Bacterial small subunit ribosomal RNA", at positions 338 to 795 of the family's 1533-position model. The record is from RNAcentral.
CCUACGGGAGGCAGCAGUGAGGAAUAUUGGGCAAUGGGCGCGAGCCUGAACCAGCCAAGUAGCGUGAAGGAUGACUGCCCUACGGGUUGUAAACUUCUUUUAUAAAGGAAUAAAGUGAGGCACGUGUGCCUUUUUGUAUGUACUUUAUGAAAAAGGAUCGGCUAACUCCGUGCCAGCAGCCGCGGUAAUACGGAGGAUCCGAGCGUUAUCCGGAUUUAUUGGGUUGAAAGGGUGCGUAGGCGGGCUAUUAAGUCAGCGGUAAAAUGUCGGGGCUCAACCCCGGCGUGCCGUUGAAACUGGCGGCCUAGAGUGGGAGAGAAGUAUGCGGAAUGCGUGGUGUAGCGGUGAAAUGCAUAGAUAUCACGCAGAACUCCGAUUGCGAAGGCAGCAUACCGGCGCCCGACUGACGCUGAGGCACGAAAGCGUGGGUAUCGAACAGGAUUAGAUACCCUGGUAGUC